UGNCAGACGGGUGAGUAAUGUAUAGGAAUCUACCUAGUAGUACGGAAUAAUUGUUGGAAACGGCAACUAAUACCGUAUACGCCCUACGGGGGAAAAAUUUAUUGCUAUUAGAUGAGCCUAUAUUAGAUUAGUUAGUUGGUGAGGUAAAGGCUUACCAAGACAAUGAUCUAUAGCUGAUCUGAGAGGAUGAUCAGCCACACUGGAACUGAGAUACGGUCCAGACUCCUACGGGAGGCAGCNNUGGGGAAUAUUGGACAAUGGGCGAAAGCCUGAUCCAGCCAUGCCGCAUGAGUGAAGAAGGCCUUCGGGUUGUAAAGCUCUUUUAGUGAGGAAGAUAAUGACGGUACUCACAGAAGAAGUCCUGGCUAACUCCGUGCCAGCAGCCGCGGUGAUACGGAGAGGGCUAGCGUUAUUCGGAAUCAUUGGGCGUAAAGGGCGCGUAGGCGGGUUAGUAAGUUAAAAGUGAAAUCCCNAGGCUCAACCUUGGAACUGCUUUUAAAACUGCUAGUCUAGAGAUUGAAAGAGGAUAGAGG
Molecule: ribosomal RNA, 533 nt
Filed under: uncultured Hyphomicrobiales bacterium
Lineage: Bacteria; Pseudomonadati; Pseudomonadota; Alphaproteobacteria; Hyphomicrobiales
Description: bacterial SSU rRNA
Rfam family: Bacterial small subunit ribosomal RNA
Source: RNAcentral